RNAcentral lists this ribosomal RNA (253 nucleotides) under uncultured bacterium. RNAcentral's name for it is "partial 16S ribosomal RNA". It matches the Rfam family "Bacterial small subunit ribosomal RNA", at positions 524 to 776 of the family's 1533-position model. The record is from RNAcentral.
UACGUAGGGGGCUAGCGUUGUCCGGAUUUAUUGGGCGUAAAGAGCGUGUAGGCGGCCAGGUAGGUCCGCUGUGAAAGUCCGAGGCUCAACCUCGGAAUGUCGGCGGAAACCCUCUGGCUAGAGUCCGGAAGAGGAGAGUGGAAUUCCCGGUGUAGCGGUGAAAUGCGCAGAUAUCAGGAGGAACACCUAUUGCGAAGGCAGCUCGCUGGGACGUAACUGACGCUGAGACGCGAAAGCGUGGGGAGCAAACAGG